GACGAACGCUGGCGGUAUGCUUAACACAUGCAAGUCGAACGAGACGGGAUGGAAGGAGCCUUCGGGUGACGGAAAUCCUAGAAAGUGGCGAACGGGUGAGUAACGCGUGGGUAACCUGCCCUAUGGAAAGGAAUAGCCUCGGGGAACUGGGAGGAAUGCCUGAUAAUAUACAGAAGUCGCAUGGCUUUUGGAUUAAACGCUCCGGUGCCAUAGGAUGGACCCGCGUCCCAUUAGCUAGUUGGUGAGAUAACAGCCCAUCAAGGCGACGAUGGGUAACCGGUCUGAGAGGGCGAACGGUCACACUGGAACUGAGACACGGUCCAGACUCCUACGGGAGGCAGCAGUGGGGAAUAUUGCGCAAUGGGGGCAACCCUGACGCAGCAAUACCGCGUGAGUGAAGAAGGUUUUCGGAUCGUAAAGCUCUGUUAUUGGGGAAGAAAAAAGACGGUACCCAAGAAGAAAGUCCCGGCUAACUACGUGCCAGCAGCCGCGGUAA
This 496-nucleotide ribosomal RNA is filed under the name uncultured bacterium. RNAcentral describes it as "partial 16S ribosomal RNA". It matches the Rfam family "Bacterial small subunit ribosomal RNA", at positions 28 to 523 of the family's 1533-position model. The record is from RNAcentral.